RNAcentral lists this ribosomal RNA (420 nucleotides) under bacterium. Its description in RNAcentral is "partial 16S ribosomal RNA". It matches the Rfam family "Bacterial small subunit ribosomal RNA", at positions 355 to 776 of the family's 1533-position model. The record is from RNAcentral.
UGGGGGAUAUUGCACAAUGGGCGAAAGCCUGAUGCAGCGACGCCGCGUGGGGGAUGAAGGCUUUCGGGUUGUAAACCUCUUUCGCUAUCGAACAAGGCCCGCUUAGGGUGGGUUGAGGGUAGGUGGAGAAGAAGCGCCGGCUAACUACGUGCCAGCAGCCGCGGUAAUACGUAGGGCGCGAGCGUUGUCCGGAAUUAUUGGGCGUAAAGGGCUUGUAGGCGGCUUGUUGCGCCUGCUGUGAAAACGCGGGGCUUAACUUCGCGCGUGCAGUGGGUACGGGCAGGCUUGAGUGUGGUAGGGGUGACUGGAAUUCCAGGUGUAGCGGUGGAAUGCGCAGAUAUCUGGAGGAACACCGAUGGCGAAGGCAGGUCACUGGGCCAUUACUGACGCUGAGGAGCGAAAGCAUGGGUAGCGAACAGA